GCGGAGCCCGGCUCCCGUAGGAGUCCGGGCGGAGUCUGCUUGCGGCUGAAGUUGUUGGCGUCGAGGAUGAAGCCCGGCUCCCAUAAGAGUCCGGGCGGAGUCUUCCUGCAAUCAAAGUUGAAGGCGAAGUCUGGCUCCCGUAGGAGUCCGGACGGGGCUUACCAGCAGUUGAUGCUGAGGACGGAGCCCGGCUCCCGUAGGAGUCCGGGCGAAGCUGUCCU
RNAcentral lists this long non-coding RNA (221 nucleotides) under Elaeis guineensis (African oil palm). Its description in RNAcentral is "long non-coding RNA (EGUI_LNC046196)". The record is from RNAcentral. Lineage: Eukaryota; Viridiplantae; Streptophyta; Magnoliopsida; Arecales; Arecaceae.